RNAcentral lists this unclassified non-coding RNA (227 nucleotides) under Hevea brasiliensis (rubber tree). The record is from RNAcentral. Lineage: Eukaryota; Viridiplantae; Streptophyta; Magnoliopsida; Malpighiales; Euphorbiaceae.
AUUGGACCUCCUCUCUCGUGACCUGUCCUUUUUAAAUCUCCUCUCCUUUCAUCGUUUUGUCCUUUGGCUUGUCAUUUCCGCCUUCACUUCGACGGAGGAGGCUUCCUGUUCUGUUCUUCUGUCGAUCCAUAUCUUAAAAUCUUGGAAGAAGUUACUUUUUAGUUUGAUAUAGAAAGCAUGUCACCUACCGAAUCUUCACGUGAGGAAAAUGUCUACAUGGCCAAGUU